This 119-nucleotide small nuclear RNA is filed under the name Colobus angolensis palliatus. RNAcentral's name for it is "U5 spliceosomal RNA (ENSCANG00000002082.1)". It matches the Rfam family "U5 spliceosomal RNA". From Rfam's summary of the family: U5 RNA is a component of both types of known spliceosome. The record is from Rfam by way of RNAcentral. Lineage: Eukaryota; Metazoa; Chordata; Mammalia; Primates; Cercopithecidae.
AUACUCUGGUUUCUCUUCAAAUCGUACAAAUCUUUCGCCUUUUACUAAAGAUUUCCGUGGAGAGAAACAUAUUGGGAGUCUUAGAAUAAAUUUUUUGAGGCCUUGUGUUUUGCGAGGCU